GAUGAACGCUGGCGGCGUGCCUAAUACAUGCCAGUCGAGCGAACGGACGAGAAGCUUGCUUCUCUGAUGUUAGCGGCGGACGGGUGAGUAACACGUGGAUAACCUACCUAUAAGACUGGGAUAACUUCGGGAAACCGGAGCUAAUACCGGAUAAUAUUUUGAACCGCAUGGUUCAAAAGUGAAAGACGGUCUUGCUGUCACUUAUAGAUGGAUCCGCGCUGCAUUAGCUAGUUGGUAAGGUAACGGCUUACCAAGGCAACGAUGCAUAGCCGACCUGAGAGUGUGAUCGGCCACACUGGAACUGAGACACGGUCCAGACUCCUACGGGAGGCAGCAGUAGGGAAUCUUCCGCAAUGGGCGAAAGCCUGACGGAGCAACGCCGCGUGAGUGAUGAAGGUCUUCGGAUCGUAAAACUCUGUUAUUAGGGAAGAACAUAUGUGUAAGUAACUGUGCACAUCUUGACGGUACCUAAUCAGAAAGCCACGGCUAACUACGUG
RNAcentral lists this ribosomal RNA (497 nucleotides) under uncultured bacterium. Its description in RNAcentral is "partial 16S ribosomal RNA". It matches the Rfam family "Bacterial small subunit ribosomal RNA", at positions 28 to 507 of the family's 1533-position model. The record is from RNAcentral.